RNAcentral lists this ribosomal RNA (225 nucleotides) under uncultured bacterium. RNAcentral describes it as "partial 16S ribosomal RNA". It matches the Rfam family "Bacterial small subunit ribosomal RNA", at positions 545 to 769 of the family's 1533-position model. The record is from RNAcentral.
CCGGAUUUAUUGGGCGUAAAGCGCGUGCAGGCCGUUUGGUAAGUUGGAUGUAAAAGCUCCUGGCUUAACUGGGAGAGGUCGUUCAAAACUACCAGACUAGAGAUUGGGAGAGGGAAGUGGAAUUCCGGGUGUAGUGGUGAAAUGCGUAGAUAUCCGGAGGAACACCAGUGGCGAAAGCGGCUUCCUAGACCAUUUCUGACGCUUAGACGCGAAAGCUAGGGGAGC